GGUCAGGAUGAACGCUAGCGACAGGCUUAACACAUGCAAGUCGAGGGGCAGCACGGGAGUAGCAAUACGAACUGGUGGCGACCGGCGCACGGGUGAGUAACGCGUAUGCAACCUACCUAUCAGAGGGGAAUAACCCGGCGAAAGUCGGACUAAUACCGCAUAAAACAGGGGCACCGCAUGGUGAUAUUGUUAAAGAAAUUCGCUGAUAGAUGGGCAUGCGUUCCAUUAGGUAGUUGGUGAGGUAACGGCUCACCAAGCCGACGAUGGAUAGGGGAACUGAGAGGUUGGUCCCCCACACUGGUACUGAGACACGGACCAGACUCCUACGGGAGGCAGCAGUGAGGAAUAUUGGUCAAUGGGCGAGAGCCUGAACCAGCCAAGUCGCGUUGAAGGAAGAAGGAUCUAUGGUUCGUAAACUUCUUUUGCAGGGGAAUAAAGUGCGGGACGUGUCCUGUUUUGUAUGUACCCUGAGAAUAAGGAUCGGCUAACUCCGUGCCAGCAGCGGC
RNAcentral lists this ribosomal RNA (506 nucleotides) under uncultured bacterium. Its description in RNAcentral is "bacterial SSU rRNA". It matches the Rfam family "Bacterial small subunit ribosomal RNA", at positions 22 to 518 of the family's 1533-position model. The record is from RNAcentral.